AUGAACUUCUCCGACGACUGGCGCUUCCUCUUCCCCGUCUCCUCCGUGUUCAACCCGCCGUCCCUCGCCCCGCCGGACGCCUCCCACGGGCCCCUCUUCUUCACCCCUCUCCCGCCGCCCGCCCCGCUCCUCUCCCUCCCCUUCCCCUUCCCUCCGCCCCUGCACGCCUCCACCACCGGUGACCUCCGCCACGCCCUCCGCUACAUCGUCGGCUCCACCUCCUUCCUCCCCUACUCCGAUCUCAAGUCCCUCUCGGGACCCCUCCUCGCCGCGCCGUCGCCGCCGUUCCCACCGCCUUCCAAUCUUCUCGCCGUCGUCCCCUCCCGCUCCUCAAGCUCUCUCGUCCUCUUUUUCCCGUACGGCGAAAAUGCGGAGAAGAUUGCUUUCGCUCUUGUGAACUCGCCCGUUGCGAGCUCUGCGCCAGUUUCGCCCUUAGUUCAGAGUGAUGGGUUCAAGCACCCUGGGCACCGCAUACAGCAGCUUGCUGCUAUUCCUGCCCAGUCGUCCUGGUCAUCGGAGCCGGAUGACAGCUGUGUCGAGGGUUUCCUGCUUGCUGCGACAUUGUACUCAGUGAAUUGGUUCAGGGUCGAGUCACGCGAUUCGGGUUCCCCGGUGCUUGUACCGGUGGCCAAGCAGGGGUUUGAUGCUGCUGUCGUGCACGCGUGCUGGAGCAGGCAUUUUCCAUCACAAUGUGCGGUGCUGCUGGAGAAUGGGGAGUUGUGUUGGUUUGAUCUGAAUACACGACUUGGAGGAAAGACGAGCGUUGGUUUUGGCGGCAAUGGUGAAGACUGGGGGGACUGGCUAAGCUGUGCGUAUGGAGCGCAACCGUGGAUGGUGAUAGUCGCAAGCACAAAAGCCGUCCUUUUGGUUGAUUUGAGCUUUGUAGAUCAUGGUGACAAAUACGUCGUGGAAAACGAGCCACACAAGUUUCAGUACAAGGUUCUAGCAAAAGUUGGGUUGCCAGGGUUAUUUGAAACUGAGCCUUUUGACAGGACUGAGCAUUAUAUUGCAUUCUGCAAGGCUGGGUUCGAUGAUUCCCAUAUAUCAGUAGUGACAGAGCGUCACUUGAUUCUCCUUGAUGUGACAAAGCCGUUGGAACCUGUGUUGGCUUGGCAGCAUGGGCUUGAGAACCCAAAUCAUGUUGCCAUGUUUCGGCUAUCUGAAUUGAGACCUUCCAAGGAAUAUGAAUGGGCUUCAAAUUCAGGUUUUGCCAUUUUGGUUGGUUCGUUCCAGAAUGGGGAGUUCAGUUUGUUCUGUUACGGGCCUAAGGAGCAAGGUUGUCCAGAUAAUUCUCAUUUAUACGCUUGGGAUAUUCCUUCGAGGCUUUCUCUGACAGAUGACCUCUCAAUAUCGGAGCCAACAUCUGCCAGCUUUGCCUUGAUCCGGCUAACAGCAUUGGGGAAGUUGGAAAUGCAACAGUAUCGUGCAUCUCGAGGUCUGCAUGAUGAAAUUGACACCCCAUGUGAUGAAUCAGAACAUGCAUCCAUGGAUAGUAGUUCAUCCAUUUUGAUUGACACUCAGGGUGAAAAUGUCUCCACCAAAUAUCGAUUCUUGAAGUUGCAUUUUCUAUAUGAACAUCUGAAGGGCAAUCUAUGCAGUGCGUUGGCGAAGCAUGGUACUGGUGUUAACGGAGACAGAGAUCAAAUUAUUAUUAGUGAAGACGUGUUGGCAUUUGCAGAGGAUAACUCCAGAUCCAGCUCGCUGCCAGUUUCAGAUUUCCUAUGUAAUGCUAGCAUCCCCAUGAAUGUUUUCGAAAUUGCAUGUCAGAGCAUAUUGAACAGUCUACCUUCAAAUAUUCUUCAUGUCUCCCUUUCUAAAUACAAGGACAUGCUAAAAUGCGAUACAAAAGAAGGCUUAGUAGAAUAUUUAAAAGUUCCUAGCUGUUCGCCACACAAUGAACUUCGGCCUUUCCUGUUAGCGAAACCAUCAAGCACAUGUGAGAAGGUGACUAGCAAAGCGGUAUCUCAAAAUGCUCUUGUUGGGCCAGUGCUCCCUGUGCAUGUCCUACUUGCAAUGGAAGAGAUGAACAGGGGCAUAGACAGCCCUUCGGAAAGAGAAACUGCAGAAACUGACUUAGUACGCCAUCGAUGUAGUGAGGUGCUUGAAGCCUUUGUUCCUGAAGUAUCCAUUGCUGAGUCCGACAACUUUGAUGGAUGGUUCUCCUCACAAAAGUUGAAUGACAAGAAGUCAUAUCUUGUUUACGAGACUCGGAUUGAAAAUAAGUUUACUCUUGAUAAAACUGUUAUAAAGAAGGAAAAUGAAGAGCAAAAGGCCGCUGAUCGUACAUCUUUUGAAACGUCUGCAGCACCAUACAAGGAUGAGAACUUCAUGACAUUUGUUUGUGGAAAAGCUGGGACACUUGAUUCUGGGCCUGAACAAACCACAUCUGAUUUGUUUGAUUUCACCCCAGUGAGGAUGGAUUUUGCUUCCACAGAUCUAGACAUUCAACCUGCCGAGGAAGAAGUGUACAGAUGCUUGAAGAAACAAUUUUUAAGAUGGCAAAAUAAUUUCAAGCCAUACCAAGAUUUUUGUAGCUCAUAUAAAAUACAAAAGCCAUCAUAA
Molecule: ribosomal RNA, 2562 nt
Filed under: Triticum aestivum (bread wheat)
Lineage: Eukaryota; Viridiplantae; Streptophyta; Magnoliopsida; Poales; Poaceae
Description: partial small subunit ribosomal RNA
Source: RNAcentral